This 2201-nucleotide ribosomal RNA is filed under the name Staphylococcus aureus. Its description in RNAcentral is "partial 23S ribosomal RNA". It matches the Rfam family "Bacterial large subunit ribosomal RNA", at positions 444 to 2649 of the family's 2925-position model. The record is from RNAcentral. Lineage: Bacteria; Bacillati; Bacillota; Bacilli; Caryophanales; Staphylococcaceae.
CUGGGAGGACCAUCUCCUAAGGCUAAAUACUCUCUAGUGACCGAUAGUGAACCAGUACCGUGAGGGAAAGGUGAAAAGCACCCCGGAAGGGGAGUGAAAUAGAACCUGAAACCGUGUGCUUACAAGUAGUCAGAGCCCGUUAAUGGGUGAUGGCGUGCCUUUUGUAGAAUGAACCGGCGAGUUACGAUUUGAUGCAAGGUUAAGCAGUAAAUGUGGAGCCGUAGCGAAAGCGAGUCUGAAUAGGGCGUUUAGUAUUUGGUCGUAGACCCGAAACCAGGUGAUCUACCCUUGGUCAGGUUGAAGUUCAGGUAACACUGAAUGGAGGACCGAACCGACUUACGUUGAAAAGUGAGCGGAUGAACUGAGGGUAGCGGAGAAAUUCCAAUCGAACCUGGAGAUAGCUGGUUCUCUCCGAAAUAGCUUUAGGGCUAGCCUCAAGUGAUGAUUAUUGGAGGUAGAGCACUGUUUGGACGAGGGGCCCCUCUCGGGUUACCGAAUUCAGACAAACUCCGAAUGCCAAUUAAUUUAACUUGGGAGUCAGAACAUGGGUGAUAAGGUCCGUGUUCGAAAGGGAAACAGCCCAGACCACCAGCUAAGGUCCCAAAAUAUAUGUUAAGUGGAAAAGGAUGUGGCGUUGCCCAGACAACUAGGAUGUUGGCUUAGAAGCAGCCAUCAUUUAAAGAGUGCGUAAUAGCUCACUAGUCGAGUGACACUGCGCCGAAAAUGUACCGGGGCUAAACAUAUUACCGAAGCUGUGGAUUGUCCUUUGGACAAUGGUAGGAGAGCGUUCUAAGGGCGUUGAAGCAUGAUCGUAAGGACAUGUGGAGCGCUUAGAAGUGAGAAUGCCGGUGUGAGUAGCGAAAGACGGGUGAGAAUCCCGUCCACCGAUUGACUAAGGUUUCCAGAGGAAGGCUCGUCCGCUCUGGGUUAGUCGGGUCCUAAGCUGAGGCCGACAGGCGUAGGCGAUGGAUAACAGGUUGAUAUUCCUGUACCACCUAUAAUCGUUUUAAUCGAUGGGGGGACGCAGUAGGAUAGGCGAAGCGUGCGAUUGGAUUGCACGUCUAAGCAGUAAGGCUGAGUAUUAGGCAAAUCCGGUACUCGUUAAGGCUGAGCUGUGAUGGGGAGAAGACAUUGAGUCUUCGAGUCGUUGAUUUCACACUGCCGAGAAAAGCCUCUAGAUAGAAAAUAGGUGCCCGUACCGCAAACCGACACAGGUAGUCAAGAUGAGAAUUCUAAGGUGAGCGAGCGAACUCUCGUUAAGGAACUCGGCAAAAUGACCCCGUAACUUCGGGAGAAGGGGUGCUCUUUAGGGUUAACGCCCAGAAGAGCCGCAGUGAAUAGGCCCAAGCGACUGUUUAUCAAAAACACAGGUCUCUGCUAAACCGUAAGGUGAUGUAUAGGGGCUGACGCCUGCCCGGUGCUGGAAGGUUAAGAGGAGUGGUUAGCUUCUGCGAAGCUACGAAUCGAAGCCCCAGUAAACGGCGGCCGUAACUAUAACGGUCCUAAGGUAGCGAAAUUCCUUGUCGGGUAAGUUCCGACCCGCACGAAAGGCGUAACGAUUUGGGCACUGUCUCAACGAGAGACUCGGUGAAAUCAUAGUACCUGUGAAGAUGCAGGUUACCCGCGACAGGACGGAAAGACCCCGUGGAGCUUUACUGUAGCCUGAUAUUGAAAUUCGGCACAGCUUGUACAGGAUAGGUAGGAGCCUUUGAAACGUGAGCGCUAGCUUACGUGGAGGCGCUGGUGGGAUACUACCCUAGCUGUGUUGGCUUUCUAACCCGCACCACUUAUCGUGGUGGGAGACAGUGUCAGGCGGGCAGUUUGACUGGGGCGGUCGCCUCCUAAAAGGUAACGGAGGCGCUCAAAGGUUCCCUCAGAAUGGUUGGAAAUCAUUCAUAGAGUGUAAAGGCAUAAGGGAGCUUGACUGCGAGACCUACAAGUCGAGCAGGGUCGAAAGACGGACUUAGUGAUCCGGUGGUUCCGCAUGGAAGGGCCAUCGCUCAACGGAUAAAAGCUACCCCGGGGAUAACAGGCUUAUCUCCCCCAAGAGUUCACAUCGACGGGGAGGUUUGGCACCUCGAUGUCGGCUCAUCGCAUCCUGGGGCUGUAGUCGGUCCCAAGGGUUGGGCUGUUCGCCCAUUAAAGCGGUACGCGAGCUGGGUUCAGAACGUCGUGAGACAGUUCGGUCCCUAUCCGUCGUG